GGAGAGGGUGUGGGCUUAGAGGUAGAGCAUCUGAUCGCCAUGCAGAAGAGCCCAUGUUCAAUCCCCGGCAUCUCCA
Molecule: transfer RNA, 76 nt
Filed under: Sphaerodactylus townsendi
Lineage: Eukaryota; Metazoa; Chordata; Lepidosauria; Squamata; Sphaerodactylidae
Description: tRNA-Gly
Source: RNAcentral